This 73-nucleotide transfer RNA is filed under the name Podospora comata. It matches the Rfam family "tRNA". From Rfam's summary of the family: Transfer RNA (tRNA) molecules are approximately 80 nucleotides in length. Their secondary structure includes four short double-helical elements and three loops (D, anti-codon, and T loops). Further hydrogen bonds mediate the characteristic L-shaped molecular structure. tRNAs have two regions of fundamental functional importance: the anti-codon, which is responsible for specific mRNA codon recognition, and the 3' end, to which the tRNAs corresponding amino acid is attached (by aminoacyl-tRNA synthetases). tRNAs cope with the degeneracy of the genetic code in two manners: having more than one tRNA (with a specific anti-codon) for a particular amino acid; and 'wobble' base-pairing, i.e. permitting non-standard base-pairing at the 3rd anti-codon position. Lineage: Eukaryota; Fungi; Ascomycota; Sordariomycetes; Sordariales; Podosporaceae. The record is from RNAcentral.
GGUCUGCUAGCGUAAUCGGAAGCGCGUCUUACUACGAAUCAGGAGGUUCCAGGUUCGAGCCCUGGGUGGAUCG